Nannospalax galili (Upper Galilee mountains blind mole rat) is the source of this 68-nucleotide small nucleolar RNA. RefSeq annotates it as small nucleolar RNA SNORD2. The transcript has a single exon. NCBI's taxonomy places the organism in Eukaryota, Metazoa, Chordata, Mammalia, Rodentia, Spalacidae. The record is from RefSeq and is a predicted model, not a curated record.
UGAUGGCAUGAUGGCAAUCAUCUUUCAGGACUGAAUGGAAGUAAAGAGAAUACUCUUGCUUAUCAUUU